CACCAUGCCGCCUGCAGUAACAUAAAAUGCAAAUUUGAUCACAACAAGGCUCUACAUAACAGAGAGACAAAAACCAAGGAUUUCUUCAAGCUUCGCUCAUAUCCACUUUUGUGUUCCCCUGAAGGGAAAAGCAACAACUAUGACCUCAGUCUUCUAUUCUGGUAAUGGCUAAUUAGAAGGGACUUGUUUCCGAUUAGCUCGUAAUGCUACUUACACAGGCCAUUGCCUUGUUUCCGUGUAUAUUGAGUUAUCCCUCACCGAACCCAAAACGAUGUUGCUCUGCUGGUACUAAUCAGGCGGGUUUGCUUUUCCUUUUGAUCGAGUGCAAAAUAAUGGCCAUGGAACUACAUUUUUUUUUCCCCUCCAUGUCACAUUUCGAUGGCUCUCUUUUCCCAGAUGACUGCCUUUAGAUGAAUGAGUCCGUGCCCUUGUGACUACUUGACUGUUUUCAUCUAUCUUUGUCACAGCCCUCCAAAGCUACGUAUUGUGGUCGAGGAAAACGUGUCAAGGUUUUAUGAUGAAUUUGUCGUUUUGACUUAAAAUGCUUUGAGAGACGAGUGUAAGGCGGUCGGGACUAAACCUUUUAUUUUUAAGGCCGCAUCAUCAAGCGUUUUGACAACAGCCGCAGUCGCAACACAGCGCUUUACACAAAAGUUAGCAUAAAAUAAGAACAGAACACAUAAGACACGGACAGUCAUACAAUCGUAACCGGUAUCCCUGUAGACGCCUUGUCCUUUGAAGCAGUUCUCGAUGAAAGAGGCGGAGACAAAGUGUCCUUUCACCAGUGGAUCAGAGAUGUCAGCCUCAAAACGUGCAUGACGUUCCACACGUCAGCUACAAGCUAAGAUUGA
This is a long non-coding RNA of Hippocampus comes (tiger tail seahorse), 851 nucleotides long. RefSeq lists it as uncharacterized. The transcript has 2 exons. Lineage: Eukaryota; Metazoa; Chordata; Actinopteri; Syngnathiformes; Syngnathidae. The record is from RefSeq and is a predicted model, not a curated record.